RNAcentral lists this small RNA (125 nucleotides) under Marmota monax (woodchuck). Lineage: Eukaryota; Metazoa; Chordata; Mammalia; Rodentia; Sciuridae. The record is from RNAcentral.
GCUGGGCGUGGUGGUGCAUGCCUGUAAUCCCAGCAGCUUGAGAGGCUGAGGCAGGAGGAUGUUGGUUUCAAAGCCAGCCUCAGCAACAGCGAGGUGCCAAGCAACUCAGUGAGACCCUGUCUCUA